AGUGAACGCUGGCGGUAGGCCUAACACAUGCAAGUCGAACGGCAGCACAGUAAGAGUUCGCUCUUACGGGUGGCGAGUGGCGGACGGGUGAGGCAUACAUCGGAAUCUACUUUUUCGUGGGGGAUAACGUAGGGAAACUUACGCUAAUACCGCAUACGACAUACGGGUGAAAGCAGGGGAUCUUCGGACCUUGCGCGAUUGAAUGAGCCGAUGUCGGAUUAGCUAGUUGGCGGGGUAAAGGCCCACCAAGGCGACGAUCCGUAGCUGGUCUGAGAGGAUGAUCGGCCACACUGGAACUGAGACACGGUCCAGACUCCUACGGGAGGCAGCAGUGGGGAAUAUUGGACAAUGGGCGCAAGCCUGAUCCAGCCAUACCGCGUGGGUGAAGAAGGCCUUCGGGUUGUAAAGCCCUUUUGUUGGGAAAGAAAAGCAGCAGAUUAAUACCCCGCUGUUCUGACGGUACCCAAAGAAUAAGCACCGGCUAACUUCGUG
RNAcentral lists this ribosomal RNA (492 nucleotides) under uncultured bacterium. Its description in RNAcentral is "partial 16S ribosomal RNA". It matches the Rfam family "Bacterial small subunit ribosomal RNA", at positions 29 to 507 of the family's 1533-position model. The record is from RNAcentral.